RNAcentral lists this non-coding RNA (46 nucleotides) under unclassified sequences. Its description in RNAcentral is "SAM-SAH-Weickhmann-2018 RNA". It matches the Rfam family "SAM/SAH riboswitch aptamer". The record is from RNAcentral.
GCAUCACAACGGCUUCCUGACGUGAUGUCAAAUUCAUAAUGGAGCA